UUUAACUGAGCGUUCAGUUACUUGACGUAGACCCGAAACCGGGCGACCUACCCAUGAGCAGGAUGAAGCGAAAGUAAAAUUUCGUGGAGGUCCGAACCCACGAGCGUUGAAAAGCUCGGGGAUGACUUGUGGGUAGCGGUGAAAUUCCAAUCGAGCCCGGAGAUAGCUGGUUCUCCCCGAAAUAGCUUUAGGGCUAGCCUCAAGGUGAGAGAUACGGAGGUAGAGCACUGAAUGUCCUAGGGGGUAUUGCACCUACCGAAGACUAUCAAACUCCGAAUGCCGUCAUCUUAUACUUGGGAGUCAGACUGUGGGUGAUAAGAUUCAUAGUCGAAAGGGCAACAGCCCAGAUCGUCAGCUAAGGUCCCUAAAUGUAAGUUAAGUGGUAAAGGAUGUGGGAUUGCACAGACAACCAGGAUGUUGGCUUAGAAGCAGCCACUCAUUCAAAGAGUGCGUAAUAGCUCACUGGUCGAGUGAUCCUGCGCCGAAGAUUUCCGGGGCUAAAACUUACUACCGAAGCUACGGCAUCAGUAAUGAUGGGUAGGGGAGCUUCCCAUACGGGUUGAAGCAUGACCGUAAGGACAUGUGGACAGUAUGGGAGUGAGAAUGUUGGCAUGAGUAGCGAGAUGUGGGUGAGAAUCCCACAGGCCGUAAACCCAAGGUUUCCAGGGGAAGGUUCGUCCGCCCUGGGUUAGUCGGGACCUAAGCUGAGGCCGAAAGGCGUAGGUGAUGGACAACAGGUUGAUAUUCCUGUACUACCGAUAACCGUUUGAGAGAAGGGAUGACACAGUAGGAUAAGCUAAGCACACUGUUGGUUAUGUGUGCCCAAGCAUUGAGGC
Molecule: ribosomal RNA, 836 nt
Filed under: Clostridioides difficile
Lineage: Bacteria; Bacillati; Bacillota; Clostridia; Peptostreptococcales; Peptostreptococcaceae
Description: partial 23S ribosomal RNA
Rfam family: Bacterial large subunit ribosomal RNA
Source: RNAcentral